UUGAUCACACAGCUGUAGCUGUUGUUCUCCUGAUAUUCCACCUCCAGAGGUAGAGAGAGACUGAUGCUGAGAUCAGACACACUGAUGCUGGACAAUAAACUGUUUCCUUUGUACCAGGAGAGAGUCACAUGACCCACAUUCACCACUGAACACAACAAUGAACAAUUCUGCUGUGAUGAUGAUGAUGAUGAUGAUGAAGAACAUUGUGAAAAGUCUCUGCUGAUGACAGGAACAGGAAGACGAGCUGAACACAUGAGAGAAUAGCCAAAAACUCGGGUCAUAUUUGCCUGUUCUUUGCCUUUACUGCUGCAGUUGGCACGUCAGAUACGCACGUCAGAUACCAGAAAGCAGAACAAACUUGUCCCACUUCAUUGCUGUUGCUAUGUCUGACAAGCCAUGAUGAAAAAUCCAUCACAGAACAAAGAGGAAACUGGCAGCACACCAGCAGGCAUGAUAGAGCAGGUUACUCUAGAAGUCUGAGAUCUACUAGUGAGAAACACCUUGUGGUGCCAUCAUAGAAAGGCACAACAUCACAUUCCAGAACAUUCUCAUUCACCGUUCCUGGCUGGUGGGGUGAUCUUCCCAUUCCUACCCAGAUUGCUGAUUCCCCACAAUUUUCAAGUGACAUCUGAAAACUCAUCUCUUUCAUCAUUCCUAACGUCAUCUUUAAAAAAAAUCACACCUUUGCUUCACUUUACUUAUUCCCCUGUCUAGCUCGUACUAUUUGAAAAAUCCCUGAAACUUGGUAUUAUCAGUACUUCCUGUGUCUGUUUACCUCUUUAAUGCGAAUCGUUUGAUGUAUUCCCCAAUUGUAUAUUGCUUUGGAUAAAAGUGUCUGCUAAAUGAAUAAAUCUAAAUGUAAACAUCUUUAAUGUGUUGGGAAAGAUUGCUGUAACGCCUGAAUUGCGGAGAGAUGGCAAUAUACACAAUUUCAGUUCAGGUCCACUAAUAUUAAUCUAUUACUGUCUGGACAAAAAUGGCAGGUUCUGUAUUAUGAUUGGUCAGAUCGCCUGUCAGUGAAACUCCCAGUGGGAAUAGCAGUCAGAGUGUGCAGUUACAAAAUCUACCAGCAGGUGCAAAUGGAACAAAACUGUAAAUGAUGUUCUUUUUUCAAGGUCUUUCUCUACUAUUGAAAAGGACAUGACAUACAGCCAAGUAUGGUGACCAUACUCAGAAUUCAUGCUCUGCAUUUAACCCAUCCAAAGUGCACAUGCACAGCAGUGAACACACACCCCGAGUAGUGGUCAGCCAUUUAUGCUGCGGUACCCAGGGAGCAGUUGGGGCCCAAGACUCAAACCCACAACCCUAGGGUUAGGAGUCAGACUCUCUAACCACUAGACCAUGACUUCCCCACUACUGUACUAUGUCUGUGAAAGAUUUCUAAUGUUUAGGCUACAUGAUAAUGUUAUUUUUCUGCUUGCAGGUGGAAAUGUAAAAUGUUUAUAUUGUAAUUCCACAAGACUCAUUUCACCUGUUUACCUUGUCUUUUUAUUGUUUUAAAUAACCACUAAAUAUAGCUGCAGUCAGCAAUUACAGGGCCAAGCACUAAAGAAACAAGCAUCAGACAAACUGCAGAAAUUAGUAACUUAAGUCAUUUUAGGAUGAUUUCAGUCAAAACUACUGAAAAAAAAAAUCAUAAAUACAACCUCUAGUAAUAUGAUUUAUUGGC
Long non-coding RNA from Carassius gibelio (silver crucian carp), 1669 nucleotides. RefSeq lists it as uncharacterized. The record is from RefSeq and is a predicted model, not a curated record. NCBI's taxonomy places the organism in Eukaryota, Metazoa, Chordata, Actinopteri, Cypriniformes, Cyprinidae. The transcript is spliced from 4 exons.